UGUUAAAAAUUUCAUCUACUUGUACUAUUAAAAAUUGGCAUGGUCGAUGGAAUAACCAAACAAUGACACAUGACAUGUCACGUAUACCUCAUGCUGACGAUACUAGUUUUAUUAGUAGAAAUGGAUGAAGUUUUUAAUA
Molecule: non-coding RNA, 139 nt
Organism: Gossypium raimondii (Peruvian cotton)
Lineage: Eukaryota; Viridiplantae; Streptophyta; Magnoliopsida; Malvales; Malvaceae
Source: Rfam